GGAGAGAUGGCUCAGCGGUUAAGAGCACUGACUCCUCUUCUGAAGGUCCUGAGUUCAAAUCCCAGCAACCACA
RNAcentral lists this transfer RNA (73 nucleotides) under Mus musculus (house mouse). RNAcentral's name for it is "tRNA-Arg". Lineage: Eukaryota; Metazoa; Chordata; Mammalia; Rodentia; Muridae. The record is from RNAcentral.